UACGUAGGUGGCAAGCGUUGUUCGGAAUUAUUGGGCGUAAAGCGCGUGUAGGCGGCUAAGUAAGUCGGGCGUGAAAUCCCACGGCUCAACCGUGGAAGUGCACUCGAAACUGCAUAGCUAGAGUCCUGGAGAGAAAGGUGGAAUGCUUGGUGUAGAGGUGAAAUUCGUAGAUAUCAAGCGGAACACCGGUGGCGAAGGCGGCCUUCUGGACAGUGACUGACGCUGAGACGCGAAAGCGUGGGGAGCAAACAGG
RNAcentral lists this ribosomal RNA (253 nucleotides) under uncultured bacterium. Its description in RNAcentral is "partial 16S ribosomal RNA". It matches the Rfam family "Bacterial small subunit ribosomal RNA", at positions 524 to 776 of the family's 1533-position model. The record is from RNAcentral.